AACAAGGUCAAGGAAGAUAUUAAAUAGUAUUACAGAAGCAUUCCUAUAACAAGAUAGCAGGCUGCAACUCAUUGAAUUCCAACACGAUAUUAAGCACCUGUAUCCGUGAAGCAUCCAUCUUCCUUUGCAUUAAUUAUACCAGAAAAGCAUCAGCCGCAGCAAGAAACGUUGGAAACAAGCAUAGAAUUCUUGCAAAACUUCAUCUCUUUUUCUACAUUGCACAAAAUAAACAACUAUGCUGGAAAAUCGAAGCAAUUAGGCUGCAAAACUCCAUCAAGCCAUAUUUUCAUAGCCGCCAAUAAACUCACAGCCACAACCGCUUUAUCACGAAUCUUGUAACAAUUCUGAUAGUGAAAAACCACACAAUGAGACUCAUGUAGAAGCCUUAAAAGUUAAGAACCAAACUCAUCCCCUCGACCACCUUUCACAGCGCUACAAAUCACGAUCACCACAGACUAACGUGAAUCGCAUAUCAAAUAUUACAGGUCUAGACAGUAGACAUGAACAAUCACCGAAUAGGAGCUUCUAUGAUCGCAACGACAAUUUAUCUAGUUAUUUAUUGGCAUCUUCACACCUUCAAUUGUGAAGCUUCAAUACUCACAAAUCACAGCCCAUUAACAUGAUUUAUCAACCACCAAAAUAACACCCAUAACAUUCUUCACCACAUUCUUCACGACAUGAACAAGUACUAAUUAAACACACAUACCAAUGUACAAUGUCAGGAAACAAAAUACACAGCAAACAUAUUUGAUUUCAUAAAUUAAGGGGUUAAGGUAUUUAACAUAUAAAUAUUUGAUUUCAUAUAUUAAGUGACACCUAUAUAUUAAAUCACCAGCUACAUAUAAAUAUUUGAUUUCAUAAAUUAAGGGUACCUUAACAUUUUUCAAAAAACUAAGUAUUGUAUAAAUAAUCGAAUUAGCUCAUGAAUUAAACGAGCCGAGCUAUAUAUGACUCAAGUUCAGCUCAGUUAAUUAACAAACUUAAUUUUCAGCUCAUGAACCAAAUUAAAAAAAAAAAAUUAAUUAUUGAGUUGAGUUUAGAACCAAGUUUGAAUUGGUUCACUUCGUCGACUGUUGAAACCAAACUCCAAAGUGCAAGCUGCUUUUCUUCCUCCUCCUAAUCUUUCUAGUUGUUUGAUAUGUCUUGGUGUUGAGAAUUU
This 1159-nucleotide long non-coding RNA is filed under the name Medicago truncatula (barrel medic). Its description in RNAcentral is "long non-coding RNA (MTRU_LNC004240)". The record is from RNAcentral. Lineage: Eukaryota; Viridiplantae; Streptophyta; Magnoliopsida; Fabales; Fabaceae.